AAUGUCACUGGUUAUUCCCCUUUUCCUGAAGUCAGUAUUGGACGCCUGUUAUAAGAUGAUUAAUAAUUCACUUGACUUGACACAUGGCUUCAUCAGUGGACCAGAUACAUGUCGUGUACGUGAAUGCAGAAAAUAACAACCGGGCCUCAACAUCAUACCUAUUCUUCUCAGAAGGAAUCCAGAAAUUUGGCAUACUGUCAAGGCAAGUACAGUGAAGAAAAAAACAUUUGAUUUUUUUUUCUUCUGGAAAUGUAUUGCAUUUUUUUCUUUAAACCAGGGUAAUGGGAGACCAAGGACUGGAGGAUGUACAGAUUGCCAGGUUCAGGUUUUCUUCAAGAGGCACUGAGCAACAUAGUUUCAUAUCUGGUAAAAGUGUCCAUAAUCAAACGAUUGAAUGCAUUUGGUGUGAUGUCAGAAUCAAGGACUCAGACAUGCUGCACUUGCUGGAGGCUGAAGGAAUGCUCGACUUAUUGAGGACCUGUUUAGUGUACAGUACACUUUUCUCUCAAGCAUCCAGGCAGACUUGAACACAUUUGCAGAAGCCUGGACUCUUCAUGCACUCUCCUCAGAAGGCAGUCGAAGCUCAGAGCAGCUGUGGCACAUUGGACUGACACACACAAAAUGUACUAAUCUGAGAGAUAUGAGGUAUGGAGACCCUGCUGUCUUUACUCUGUCUCCACACUGCUGUUUAUGCAUUAGUCUAAGUGGAUUUUUAACUAUGUAUUUAACUGCUUAAUCAUUAGGAUAUUGAAGAGCCAAAUCUAGAUGGUGCAUAGCAGCUUCUUAUUAUGCCUGUGAAGAUUUAUAUUUACAUUUUCAUUUAGCAGACACUUUUAUCCAAAGCGGCUUACAGAUAAGGACAGUGGAAGCAAUCAAAAUCAACAAAAGAGCAAUAAUA
Cyprinus carpio carpio is the source of this 898-nucleotide long non-coding RNA. The record is from Ensembl. NCBI's taxonomy places the organism in Eukaryota, Metazoa, Chordata, Actinopteri, Cypriniformes, Cyprinidae.